CACCGCGGUUAUACGAGAGGCCCAAGUUGACAGAAAGCGGCGUAAAGAGUGGUUAGGGAAAAUUUUAAACUAAAGUCGAAAGUUCUCAAGACUGUUAUACGCCUGCUCGAGAACAUGAAGUUCAUCCACGAAAGUGACUUUACCUGACCUGACCCCACGAGAGCUGGGGCA
RNAcentral lists this ribosomal RNA (171 nucleotides) under Grammatobothus polyophthalmus (threespot flounder). Its description in RNAcentral is "partial 12S rRNA". Lineage: Eukaryota; Metazoa; Chordata; Actinopteri; Pleuronectiformes; Bothidae. The record is from RNAcentral.